AGUAUAACAAUGUGUGUCUUGAGUACCAUUAAGGGAUAAAUGCCUCGAAUGUAUCUAACCGAAACUCAACCUGACCCAAGAAUGAAUCAAACCACCCAGGCCCAAACAUAUUCUUAGGUCAAAAUUUUAUAUAUGCCUAGAUUUCACAUAAUCAACUACUGAUGAAGAUUUUAUCCGAAAUUUUGUUUUUUUCUAUAAAAGUUAUUGUAAUGGUCCAUAAAAUGAAACAUCAUAAGAUUUAUCCAUGCAUGUGGCAUUAUCAUCGUCCAUGCUACGCUGUUCAUACAUAAUUCUGCUCCAUACAAGCUUAUAUAGCUUAAUUAAUCCUUAGCAUGGUUUUAAAUAAUGACUAUUUUAACUUUAUAACGGUUAUUUUAAUGGUUUUAGAGGAGUGCAUUUGUCAUAUGCAUAUAAGUAAUAGAAUAUUUAAGUAAUAAUCAUUAUUUGACCAUUAUUGAUGGAAAUAACUACUGUUCAU
This 478-nucleotide long non-coding RNA is filed under the name Phoenix dactylifera (date palm). RNAcentral's name for it is "long non-coding RNA (PDAC_LNC000262)". Lineage: Eukaryota; Viridiplantae; Streptophyta; Magnoliopsida; Arecales; Arecaceae. The record is from RNAcentral.